RNAcentral lists this long non-coding RNA (200 nucleotides) under Brassica napus (rape). RNAcentral's name for it is "long non-coding RNA (BNAP_LNC013290)". The record is from RNAcentral. Lineage: Eukaryota; Viridiplantae; Streptophyta; Magnoliopsida; Brassicales; Brassicaceae.
UUUUUUUUUUUUUUUUGUUAAAGGGUUUUCAUAAAUUUGAAUAGGAGCAGCAUACAAACAAGAAAAUGAAAUACAGGGAAAGGAGCACGGAAGCUCAAAUUGACACACCAAUUCCUACCCUAAAAAGGUACUAAACCAAAGCCUUUGAGCUUUCUACCACUGGUAAAGAUAAUCAACAAGAAAACAAUCACAUGAGAACC